UACGAAGGGGGCUAGCGUUGUUCGGAUUUACUGGGCGUAAAGCGCACGUAGGCGGGUUGUUAAGUCAGGGGUGAAAUCCUGGAGCUCAACUCCAGAACUGCCUUUGAUACUGGCAACCUAGAGGCUGGAAGAGGUUAGUGGAAUUCCCAGUGUAGAGGUGAAAUUCGUAGAUAUUAGGAAGAACACCAGUGGCGAAGGCGGCUAACUGGUCCAUUACUGACGCUGAGGUGCGAAAGCGUGGGGAGCAAACAGG
Molecule: ribosomal RNA, 253 nt
Filed under: uncultured bacterium
Lineage: Bacteria
Description: partial 16S ribosomal RNA
Rfam family: Bacterial small subunit ribosomal RNA
Source: RNAcentral